Molecule: ribosomal RNA, 475 nt
Filed under: uncultured bacterium
Lineage: Bacteria
Description: bacterial SSU rRNA
Rfam family: Bacterial small subunit ribosomal RNA
Source: RNAcentral
CGGCUAUCAGCUAGUUGGUGAGGUAAUGGCUCACCAAGGCGACGACGGGUAGCCGGCCUGAGAGGGCGACCGGCCACACUGGGACUGAGACACGGCCCAGACUCCUACGGGAGGCAGCAGUGGGGAAUAUUGCACAAUGGGCGAAAGCCUGAUGCAGCAACGCCGCGUGAGGGAUGACGGCCUUCGGGUUGUAAACCUCUUUCAGCAGGGAAGAAGCGAAAGUGACGGUACCUGCAGAAGAAGCACCGGCUAACUACGUGCCAGCAGCCGCGGUAAUACGUAGGGUGCAAGCGUUGUCCGGAAUUAUUGGGCGUAAAGAGCUUGUAGGCGGUUUGUCGCGUCGGCAGUGAAAAUCCGGGGCUCAACCUCGGACCUGCAUUGGAUACGGGCAGACUAGAGUGCGGUAGGGGAGACCGGAAUUCCUGGUGUAGCGGUGGAAUGCGCAGAUAUCAGGAGGAACACCGAGUGGCGAAGG